GAACGGGUUGCAAUAAACUGGUGGCUGCGACUGUUUAAUAAAAACACAGCACUCUGCAAACACGAAAGUGGACGUAUAGGGUGUGACGCCUGCCCGGUGCUGGAAGAUUAAAUGAUGGGGUGCAAGCUCUUGAUUGAAGUCCCAGUAAACGGCGGCCGUAACUAUAACGGUCCUAAGGUAGCGAAAUUCCUUGUCGGGUAAGUUCCGACCUGCACGAAUGGCGUAACGAUGGCCACACUGUCUCCUCCCGAGACUCAGCGAAGUUGAAGUGUUUGUGAUGAUGCAAUCUACCCGCGGCUAGACGGAAAGACCCCAUGAACCUUUACUGUAGCUUUGCAUUGGACUUUGAAUCAAUCUGUGUAGGAUAGGUGGGAGGCUUUGAAGCGGUCACGCCAGUGAUCGUGGAGCCAACCUUGAAAUACCACCCUGGUUCAUUUGAGGUUCUAACCUUGGCCCGUUAUCCGGGUCGGGGACAGUGCAUGGUAGGCAGUUUGACUGGGGCGGUCUCCUCCUAAAGUGUAACGGAGGAGUUCGAAGGUACGCUAGUUACGGUCGGACAUCGUGACGAUAGUGCAAUGGCAUAAGCGUGCUUAACUGCGAGACUGACAAGUCGAGCAGGUACGAAAGUAGGACAUAGUGAUCCGGUGGUUCUGUAUGGAAGGGCCAUCGCUCAACGGAUAAAAGGUACUCUGGGGAUAACAGGCUGAUUCCUCCCAAGAGUUCAUAUCGACGGGGGAGUUUGGCACCUCGAUGUCGGCUCAUCACAUCCUGGGGCUGUAGCCGGUCCCAAGGGUAUGGCUGUUCGCCAUUUAAAGUGGUACGUGAGCUGGGUUUAAAACGUCGUGAGACAGUUUGGUCCCUAUCUGCCGUGGGCGUUGGAAAUUUGAAGGGGGCUGCUCCUAGUACGAGAGGACCGGAGUGGACAGACCUCUGGUGUACCGGUUGUCACGCCAGUGGCAUUGCCGGGUAGCUAAGUCUGGAAGAGAUAACCGCUGAAAGCAUCUAAGCGGGAAACUUGCCUUAAGAUGAGAUUUCCCAGAGCCUUGAGCUCUUUGAAGGGUCGUUCGAGACCAGGACGUUGAUAGGUCAGGUGUGGAAGUGCAGUAAUGCAUUAAGCUAACUGAUACUAAUUGCCCGUACGGCUUGUCCCU
Molecule: ribosomal RNA, 1151 nt
Filed under: Duganella violaceipulchra
Lineage: Bacteria; Pseudomonadati; Pseudomonadota; Betaproteobacteria; Burkholderiales; Oxalobacteraceae
Description: partial 23S ribosomal RNA
Rfam family: Bacterial large subunit ribosomal RNA
Source: RNAcentral